UUGGGUCACGUGAUCCGCUCAGCUCUGCGUCCGUAGACAUCUGCAAAAUGGAGGACCGUGGCGCUAAAGAGCCUGAGCAGCUCAGAAAGCUGUUCAUUGGAGGUCUGAGCUUUGAAACUACGGAGGAGAGUUUACGGGCCCAUUUUGAACAAUGGGGUACCCUUACAGAUUGUGUGGUAAUGAGAGAUCCUAACAGCAAACGAUCAAGAGGGUUUGGCUUUGUAACAUACUCGUCUGUAAGGGAAGUCGAUGAUGCCAUGAAAGCAAGACCUCAUAAAGUAGAUGGCCGAGUUGUAGAGCCCAAGAGGGCUGUGUCCCGAGAGGACUCCAAUAAACCAGGCGCCCAUCUGACAGUGAAGAAGAUCUUUGUUGGUGGCAUCAAGGAAGAUACUGAGGAGUACCACAUUCGCGAGUAUUUUGAGAAAUAUGGAAAGAUCGAAUGCAUUGACAUCAUGGAGGAACGCUCCACAGGGAAGAAGAGAGGAUUCUGCUUUGUCACUUUUGAUGACCAUGAUACUGUAGACAAAAUUGUUGCCCAGAAAUUCCACACAAUCAAUUUCCACAAUUGUGAAGUCAGGAAAGCUCUGUCAAAACAGGAAAUGAGUGCUAUAUCCAAUAACAGGGGCAGGAGCGGGGGAUCGGGAAAUUUCAUGGGCAGAGGUGGUAAUUUUGGAGGCGGCAGCAACUUUGGCAGAGGUGGCUAUGGUGGAGGACGGGGUGGAUAUGGGGAUGAUUUUGACAAUGGUCCAGGAGGAAAUUAUGGUGGCGGACCAGGUUAUGGAGGUGGCCGAGGGGGCUACGGAGGUGGAGGUCCUGGGUAUGGCAACCAGGGUGGAGGAUUUGGUGGCAACUGUGACGGAGGCUAUGGAGGUAAUGGUGGAGGAUAUGGAGGUGGUGGAAAUUACAAUGACUUUGGAAACUAUGGUGGUCAGCAGUCAAACUAUGGGCCCAUGAAGGGAAACAGCUUUGGAGGCAGGAACUCAGGUGGACCCUAUGGCGGUGGAUACGGCUCCGGUGGUGGCAGCGGCGGCUACGGCUCUCGGCGAUAUUAAUUAUUUAAUGUUGUGGCUUCAGUUCUUAGCAGCAGAGGCGAGGAGGUGAGCAAAGGAAUUGUCAGGAAAGCUGCAGGUUACUUUGAGGCAGUCAUCUGAAAGAAUUAGAGGAACACACAAGUCAGAAAUUACUGCAGCUAAAUCGGAGAAGUUUAUGGAAGAAGGACUGUAUACAAGACAUGAGUGCAGAUGAUACUCUACCCUAAUUGUGAUAGAUGUUUCCCUACUGAGCAAUUUUUCCUUCUGUGCGUCUGAAGUGUGUGUGUAUUGUGCCUGUGGUAUCAGGGAUAAAGAGUAAAGUGUUUUGGGGUUGCUAUGUUUUUUUUGGUUUUUUUAAUCUGAAGUCAGUUCUAAAUAUCUUUAUUUUUCUUUUUUAUAUGGGUAAGUUUUCUGCUGGCCAAUUAACCUUUGUCUUUUAACCUGGUUUUUGUCACAUAGAAUAAUAAUUUUAGGUCCUUAGAUAAGAUAGCUUUAUACAUUCAUUCUAAAGUUAUUAUGAUUUCACAAUUGCAAGUGUCAAGUGUAUUUUUUGAUUUUGUAUGUAAAGCUCAGUGUGUAAAUCCCUCGUAGUACCAGUGUCAACAAUUACAAGCAGUCUGGAGUAGAAUUAAGGGAAUCCCUCACUCUUCUUGUUCCCAGCAAACCGAAUUAUAGAUUGUUCAAAUAUUUUGAUUAGUUGAAAAAGACCGAAUAAAAUUGUGUAGUAAAGUAACAUGAGGUUCAGUGCAUCUUUGGUUCAGAAAAAGAUGAAAUGAGUUAUUAAUAUAUCUGUUGCUUGCUUAUUGUGACUGAAGUGUAGCAAAUCAGCUGGUCCACAACUUUCCCAUCUGGUGGAGUAUUAUUUAGGAGCUCUGUGACGUGAAAAUAGUGUAUGCGUGUUGCAUUCAUGUACUUGUACCAGGGUCAAUAUAAAGGGAGUUUUGGGUAGUCCUAGUGAAGGGCCCAGACACCACUUACGCAAGUAGGAUAACAGCUACAAGCACCAGCAUUUUGGGCUUCAGCGUCACUAGUGUGGAAGAUUUGCAGAUGACUGUCAGACAGGACGUCUUCAGCCCCAGCACAGUGGACCAGUCAGCAGUUUGAGAGAGAAGGGAGAAGGCAGCAUCGAGCACAACGCCCAUGGAGGAAGCUUGCAGUGUCGUGCCUGAUAAUGUGGAAAGAGGAAUUCUCUUCUUGCUGAAAAUCUGUAAAGACCUGAUAACAUGGAAGGUUCUGGAUGGGUAAGACUUUUUUUUUUUUUUUUUUUUUAAAUAUUGUCCAAGCCUGCUCAUAUUUCAAUCUAAUGCUGAUUACACAAGGUGCAAAACACAGGGUGUUUUAAGAUAAACAGAGCAGGUUGACCUUCAGUAUUUGUCUACUUUGAGCAGAAUCAGCAUGUGCCCUUCACCCCACUGCUCGGUACGCUUUGAAGCCAAAUACUCUUUAUGCUUAUCAUCAGUAUAUUUUAAAGCUCAAAUAAAGGUGGUGGUGAUUGAACACUUGAAACAGAAAGAUUAUCAUCCAUUCCAAGAAAGGAAGUUAAGAAAGUUUUAUAAGUAACUACUUUCAGUUGCUCCCCUACUUCAGAGGGUAGGUCUGCAUAUUUCAUUUGACCAAAUCCUACACCCAAUGCCCUUCUUGGCACAACCCUCCAAGGGAUUUGUAUCUCCUUCCAGGAUCAAACUGAGUAAAUGUGUAAACCACUACACAAGGAGCUCCCAUUUUUAGUUUUAUCAUGUAUCAAACAAUCCUAAUCCCAAAAGGUGCAAAGUCAGAAAAAUCAACAGUUAUAAUAUUACAGUAUCAAUUCACACAGUAUAAACUGUGACUUAUUAAAUAAGCACUUUAAACUGGAGGCUGAGGCUCUCCUAAAGCUAACAUUUUUAAAAAGAAAUGUAACCAAUUUUUUAAAAGAAUUGUUUAAAAAAAACUAUCAGCAGGGGUCACAGGCACGUAUAGCAUUAAAUGUGAGCAUACUCAAAUAUUGGUGUAAUAGAUGAAAGCAUAGUAUUUUUCCAUUACAGGCCAUUUACAAAGUGCUUCCAUUUGUUUCAGUUCUCAGAGUAGCCAAGUAAGCCAGCAAAUUGAGGGACUUUUUGUAAAGUUUCCAUAAUCAUGACAAGUCCUCCUACAGCACAUAUACCUUGUAGUUUUUAGAAGUGAUGAAUGAUCUGUCAUCAAAUGCAUAAAAAUAAACUUGACAUUUAAUUAUUUUUUUAACUUAUUUCUGAUUUAUAUGUAUUCAUGUUUGUGAUACUUUGGUCGUGUUGCGACUAGGUGGACAAAGUUUAGGUGUCAAAUGUUUUGAUUCCACAUACUUUAUGUCUAGACUGCUCAGUAUAAAAAACAAAAACGGUGCCCACUGUUAUCCUGUCUCUCCCAGGAUAUUAUCUUUGCAAAGGCAUGUAAAAUAACCAGCCUCAUGUCAGGAGAGACAAAGAGCGAGUCAACGAAGGAAAGAAAAGGAAAACUUAUUUGUUAAGGGCACACCAGUGAACCAUUUUGUCUGCUAAGCAGAAUAUGUAACGUUUGACUUAUGUGUUUGAAUAAAGGGAUUUUUCAUGA
Pundamilia nyererei is the source of this 3596-nucleotide RNA transcript. It is a transcript of the gene named heterogeneous nuclear ribonucleoprotein A3, with no coding region annotated. The record is from RefSeq and is a predicted model, not a curated record. Lineage: Eukaryota; Metazoa; Chordata; Actinopteri; Cichliformes; Cichlidae. The transcript has 12 exons.